This 460-nucleotide ribosomal RNA is filed under the name uncultured bacterium. Its description in RNAcentral is "partial 16S ribosomal RNA". It matches the Rfam family "Bacterial small subunit ribosomal RNA", at positions 338 to 795 of the family's 1533-position model. The record is from RNAcentral.
CCUACGGUGAGCAGCAGUGAGGAAUAUUGGUCAAUGGCCGGAAGGCUGAACCAGCCAUGCCGCGUGAAGGUCAGUGCCCUAUGGGCGUUAAACUUCUUUUGUGCGGGAGCAAUAAUGGUCACGUGUGGCCAGACGAGAGUACCGUACGAAUAAGCAUCGGCUAACUCCGUGCCAGCAGCCGCGGUAAUACGGGGGAUGCAAGCGUGAUCCGGAGUUAUUGGGUUUAAAGGGUGCGUAGGCUGUGAGGUAAGUCAGCGGUGAAAUUCCCCCGCUCAACGGGGUGAAGUGCCAUUGAAACUGGCUUGCUGGAAUGCGGAUGCGGUGGGAGGAAUGUGUGGUGUAGCGGUGAAAUGCAUAGAUAUCACACAGAACACCGAUUGCGAAGGCAUCUCACGAAUCCGCGAUUGACGCUGAUGCACGAAAGCGUGGGUAUCAAACAGGAUUAGAUACCCUUGUAGUC